Molecule: ribosomal RNA, 1078 nt
Filed under: uncultured bacterium
Lineage: Bacteria
Description: bacterial SSU rRNA
Rfam family: Bacterial small subunit ribosomal RNA
Source: RNAcentral
CUGAUAUUAAUAACAUCGGGAAAUUUGAUAGUACCCGAGGAGGAAGCACGGCUAACUCUGUGCCAGCAGCCGCGGUAAUACAGAGGUGGCAAGCGUUGUUCGGAUUUACUGGGCGUAAAGGGUGCGUAGGCGGUUUCCAUGUGUCGGAUGUGAAAUCCCACGGAUUAUCUGUGGAACGGCAUUCGAAACUAUGGGGCUAGAGUGCAGGAGAGGAGAGUGGAAUUCUCGGUGUAGCGGUGAAAUGCGUUGAUAUCGAGAGGAACACCGGUGGCGAAGGCGGCUCUCUGGACUGCAACUGACGCUGAGGCACGAAAGCUAGGGGAGCAAACAGGAUUAGAUACCCUGGUAGUCCUAGCCAUAAACGGUGCGCACUUGAUGUAGGAGGAAUUAUCCCCUCCUGUGUCGUAGCUAACGCGAUAAGUGCGCCGCCUGGGGAGUACGGUCGCAAGAUUAAAACUCAAAGAAAUUGACGGGGGCCCGCACAAGCGGUGGAGCAUGUGGCUCAAUUCGAUGCAACGCGAAGAACCUUACCUGGACUUGACAUGCUGGUAGUAGAAACCCGAAAGGGCAACGAUCUCGCAAGAGAAGCCAGCACAGGUGCUGCAUGGCUGUCGUCAGCUCGUGCCGUGAGGUGUUAGGUUAAGUCCUGCAACGAGCGCAACCCCUGUGGCUAGUUGCCAUUCCGAAAGGAGGCACUCUAGUCAGACUGCCUGUGAUAAGCAGGAGGAAGGUGGGGAUGACGUCAAGUCAGUAUGGUCCUUAUGUCCAGGGCUGCACACGUGCUACAAUGAUGGGUACAAAGGGAUGCUAGACCGCGAGGUGGAGCAAAUCUCCCAAAACCCAUCUCAGUUCAGAUUGGAGUCUGCAACUCGACUCCAUGAAGCUGGAAUCGCUAGUAGUGGCGCAUCAGCUACGGCGCCGUGAAUACGUUCCCGGGCCUUGUACACACCGCCCGUCACAUCAUGAAAGCCGAUUGCACCCAAAGUAGCUCUUUAGAGUUCCUAAGGUGUGGUUGGUGAUUGGGAUGAAGUCGUAACAAGGUAGCCGAAUCUCUGAAGAUCCGCGCGACCCCAUUUCC